GAACGUCGUGAGACAGUUCGGUCUCUAUCUGCUGUGGGCGUUGGAAAUUUGAGAGGAGCUGACUUUAGUACGAGAGGACCGAGUUGGACAGCCCUCUAGUGUACCUGUUGUUUCGCCAGAAGCAUUGCAGGGUAGCUACGGCUGGUUGGGAUAAGCACUGAAAGCAUAUAAGUGCGAAGCCCACCUCAAGAUGAGAUUUCCCUUAAGGGUCGUUCGAGAUGAGGACGUUGAUAGGCUUCAGGUGUAAAGGCAGUAAUGUCAUAGCCAAGUAGUACUAAUAACCCGUAGGCUUA
This 293-nucleotide ribosomal RNA is filed under the name Ctenophora environmental sample. Its description in RNAcentral is "partial Bacterial large subunit ribosomal RNA". It matches the Rfam family "Bacterial large subunit ribosomal RNA", at positions 2614 to 2925 of the family's 2925-position model. Lineage: Eukaryota; Metazoa; Ctenophora. The record is from RNAcentral.